RNAcentral lists this long non-coding RNA (229 nucleotides) under Brassica napus (rape). RNAcentral describes it as "long non-coding RNA (BNAP_LNC017089)". The record is from RNAcentral. Lineage: Eukaryota; Viridiplantae; Streptophyta; Magnoliopsida; Brassicales; Brassicaceae.
UUAAAAAUAAAAAUUGACCCGGUGAAUUAUUCUCGACGGGACUGUCUCGUGGCCAAAAUACUUACUCUUGAUAGUUCUGGUCGAGUUUUAAUUAUUAUGGUCAAAUUUUAUUCAAACUGGAAGAUUUUAUAUAAAAGCAAGACAAGAUUCGAUGGACGAGAAAACGUUUGGUCGAGAACUGGCUAGGAAUAGUUUGAGCUGCUUGUUAAUUUAAAUCAGUCAUGUGAGU